UGGGGAAUUUUGGACAAUGGGCGCAAGCCUGAUCCAGCCAUGCCGCGUGCGGGAAGAAGGCCUUCGGGUUGUAAACCGCUUUUGUCAGGGAAGAAAUCUUCUGAGUUAAUACCUCGGGAGGAUGACGGUACCUGAAGAAUAAGCACCGGCUAACUACGUGCCAGCAGCCGCGGUAAUACGUAGGGUGCAAGCGUUAAUCGGAAUUACUGGGCGUAAAGCGUGCGCAGGCGGUUUUGUAAGACAGAGGUGAAAUCCCCGGGCUCAACCUGGGAACUGCCUUUGUGACUGCAAGGCUUGAGUGCGGCAGAGGGGGAUGGAAUUCCGCGUGUAGCAGUGAAAUGCGUAGAUAUGCGGAGGAACACCGAUGGCGAAGGCAAUCCCCUGGGCCUGCACUGACGCUCAUGCACGAAAGCGUGGGGAGCAAACAGGAUUAGAUACCCUGGUAGUCCACGCCCUAAACGAUGCCAACUGGUUGUUGGGAAGGUUCCUUCUCAGUAACGUAGCUAACGCGUGAAGUUGACCGCCUGGGGAGUACGGCCGCAAGGUUGAAACUCAAAUGAAUUGACGGGGUCAUAGCUGUUU
Molecule: ribosomal RNA, 582 nt
Filed under: uncultured bacterium
Lineage: Bacteria
Description: partial 16S ribosomal RNA
Rfam family: Bacterial small subunit ribosomal RNA
Source: RNAcentral